This 65-nucleotide transfer RNA is filed under the name Dipodomys ordii (Ord's kangaroo rat). It matches the Rfam family "tRNA". Rfam says of the family: Transfer RNA (tRNA) molecules are approximately 80 nucleotides in length. Their secondary structure includes four short double-helical elements and three loops (D, anti-codon, and T loops). Further hydrogen bonds mediate the characteristic L-shaped molecular structure. tRNAs have two regions of fundamental functional importance: the anti-codon, which is responsible for specific mRNA codon recognition, and the 3' end, to which the tRNAs corresponding amino acid is attached (by aminoacyl-tRNA synthetases). tRNAs cope with the degeneracy of the genetic code in two manners: having more than one tRNA (with a specific anti-codon) for a particular amino acid; and 'wobble' base-pairing, i.e. permitting non-standard base-pairing at the 3rd anti-codon position. Lineage: Eukaryota; Metazoa; Chordata; Mammalia; Rodentia; Heteromyidae. The record is from Rfam by way of RNAcentral.
GGUGGCUCAGUGGUAGAGCCCUUACCUUGCAUGCAUGAGGCCCUGGGUUUGAUUCCCCAGCACCA